UACGUAGGGUGCAAGCGUUGUCCGGAAUUAUUGGGCGUAAAGAGCUCGUAGGCGGUCUGUCGCGUCGGCUGUGAAAACCCGGGGCUCAACCCCGGGCCUGCAGUCGAUACGGGCAGACUAGAGUGCGGUAGGGGAGGCUGGAAUUCCUGGUGUAGCGGUGAAAUGCGCAGAUAUCAGGAGGAACACCGGUGGCGAAGGCGGUUCUCUGGGCAUGUCCUGACGCUGAGGAGCGAAAGUGUGGGGAGCGAACAGG
RNAcentral lists this ribosomal RNA (253 nucleotides) under uncultured bacterium. Its description in RNAcentral is "partial 16S ribosomal RNA". It matches the Rfam family "Bacterial small subunit ribosomal RNA", at positions 524 to 776 of the family's 1533-position model. The record is from RNAcentral.